UACAGAGGUCUCAAGCGUUGUUCGGAUUCACUGGGCGUAAAGGGCGCGUAGGCGGCCGAUCAAGUCGGAGGUGAAAGCCCAGGGCUCAACCCUGGAAUGGCCUUCGAUACUGGUUGGCUCGAGACCGGAAGAGGUAAGUGGAACUGCGAGUGUAGAGGUGAAAUUCGUAGAUAUUCGCAAGAACACCAGUGGCGAAGGCGGCUUACUGGUCCGGUUCUGACGCUGAGGCGCGAAAGCGUGGGGAGCAAACAGG
Molecule: ribosomal RNA, 253 nt
Filed under: uncultured bacterium
Lineage: Bacteria
Description: partial 16S ribosomal RNA
Rfam family: Bacterial small subunit ribosomal RNA
Source: RNAcentral